Molecule: ribosomal RNA, 439 nt
Filed under: uncultured bacterium
Lineage: Bacteria
Description: partial 16S ribosomal RNA
Rfam family: Bacterial small subunit ribosomal RNA
Source: RNAcentral
CUACGGGGGGCUGCAGUGGGGAAUAUUGCACAAUGGGGGAAACCCUGAUGCAGCAACGCCGCGUGGAGGAUGACACAUUUCGGUGCGUAAACUCCUUUUAUAUGAGAAGAUAAUGACGGUAUCAUAUGAAUAAGCUCCGGCUAACUCCGUGCCAGCAGCCGCGGUAAUACGGGGGGAGCAAGCGUUACUCGGAAUCACUGGGCGUAAAGAGCAUGUAGGCUGAUAAAAAAGUUAGAAGUGAAAUCCUGUGGCUUAACCAUAGAACUGCUUCUAAAACUCUUUAUCUAGAAUAUGGGAGAGGUAGAUGGAAUUUCUGGUGUAGGGGUAAAAUCCGUAGAGAUCAGAAGGAAUACCGAUUGCGAAGGCGAUCUACCGGAACAUAAUUGACGCUGAGAUGCGAAAGCGUGGGGAGCAAACAGGAUUAGAUACCCCAGUAGUC